UAUCCUUUUUCUUUUUGAAAUAUCAUCGUUAUCUCAUUAUCUUUCAUACAAUUUUCUAAUUGUUUUUAAAAUCUUCGGUACCCUUAGGCUUUAGUCUUUAUGUUUCUUAACUUGUAAAAAUCUAUAGAUGAAUCUCUCUCACGUGGGAAGAUCAUCCAUGAUUUUUUUUUCUUUUGGCAAGGAAAGAUUUUCCUUAACUUAUUUAUUUUAUUUUUAUUUAUUUUAUUUAUUUAUUUAUUUAUUUUAUUUUAUUUUUUUUAUUUUUUUUAAAGAGAGAGAUGACGAUCUGCGGAACUUACCAUGUUACUUUUCUUUUCCAAUUUAUUCCUUCUUUUUCCGUCUCCGAUUCGCAGAGAAUUUCUUCGGCUGCCAUGUCGUUUUAUUGGAAGCGAUCUAGAGGUGGUUUCGAUAUCGAUUAAUCGAGAUGAUUUAGAGAAGCAGAAGUUCAGAACAAAUAGAAAAGAUUAAAAUCACAGAUUGUUCCUGAGAGGACUUGUGUAGCGUGGAGUUCCGAUCAUGGCGGUGGUUGAGGAUGCCGGGAUAGAUUUGGGGAUCAAUAUCUACCAUGGGUAUCAGUUGGUCAUGGAGAGUGAAAAUAUCAGUAGCUGCUCAGCCCAUCAAUGGAGAUGGGCACUCUUUCUUUUAAAUGGGAAUUCCCAAAGGCUGGAUAGAUUUAGUUCAACUUUGAUGGAUCCUCUUUGAGCAACCCAGGAUAUUUUGGUAUUGCUUAUGUACAUACCACACUUCAACCAGUAUGAGGUACUUCUCUUGAUGAAACCCAAUUUCAAAUUUCAGACUGAGAUUUAACAUAGAUAGCAUCUCAUAUGUAGUAGGCAUAUCAUCCCAUGUAUGUCCAUGCACCCUAUGAUAGUCCCUUGGUAAUUCCUGAUUUUUUGAAUACCUUGAUUUGCCAAUGACCUAUCUCAGACUGCUCUGUUACUUGACAUGGAAUAGAGAACGUUGGGUCCACCUCUACACAGAAUUUCAGCCCCUCUUGACUGCCACAUGGUAGUUAUUGGAGGGCAUGUAAUCUCCUUCCAGGUGAGGUCUCACCCGUUUAACAAUAUUACAAGUGACCAUAUUUUUAAUUACUGAACAAACAGUACUGGAUGGUUAUGUGAUCUUGACCUUGGGUGGACAGAUUUAACUUAUCCGGGGGCAUUAAAAAUCCUUAUUACAUUUUGAAUUUGUUUUCAUUAACAAAAGUUUUCUUGCCAAGGUUAUUGAGAUAAAACCAUGCUGCACAGCUUUGUGUAGUGGCAGAAGACUCCAACCAGCCAGAUUAUGUUAAACUGGUCAGAGCACUUUGUGCAGACCACAAAGUCAGCUUGAUAUCGGUACCGAGUGCUAAGACUCUUGGCGAAUGGGCAGGGAUGAUCAAGCGAACAGGGAAAGGGAAGCUCCAUCCUACCUCCAUUCAACCAAAGAACCACAGGCUUUGAAGCUGCAGACAAGUACCAUGGUGUUACAAAGUUUGAUCCACCUACUGGAAAGCAAUUCAAAGCUCCUGUUCCAAGUCAAUCUUACACCACAUAUUUUGCAGAGGCUUUGAUUGCUGAAGCAGAGGUUGACAAAGACGUUGUUGCCAUAGAUGAUCGACCCAGUUGCUUCUGAUACCCAAGAGGAAAUAGAACUGGCAUUCAGUUGCCACCGGGGAACAAGGGUACCUCUCUGGAGGUUGGCAAAGGCCGGAUUUUGUUGGAGGGUGACACCGUCGCACUUUUGGGUUAUGGAACAGCAGUUUAAAGUGGUGUUGUGAAAUCGUGCUUCCAAAGGUUAAGGUGCCAUGGCCUGAUUUGUUAGUAAGAAAGUAGAUCAUUUUUCCAUUUUCGAACAAGUGCUUCUGCACAUUCAUUUAUAUAUUAGGCUACUUAAGUUUGAUAAGGCUUAAAUGAGUUGACCAUUUUAGUUUUUAUUUUUAUUUAUUUAUUUAUUUAUUUAUUUUUUUUUUUUUGGUGAAGAUUUUAGUUUUAAUUGGGAUUCGUGAAAUGUAAAGGUGACAAUCACAUUUUUUUUUUUUAAAUUAUAGAAAAGCUAUGAAUAGUCUUUCUUUAGUAUG
Macadamia integrifolia is the source of this 2059-nucleotide long non-coding RNA. RefSeq lists it as uncharacterized. Lineage: Eukaryota; Viridiplantae; Streptophyta; Magnoliopsida; Proteales; Proteaceae. The record is from RefSeq and is a predicted model, not a curated record. The transcript has 6 exons.